RNAcentral lists this transfer RNA (69 nucleotides) under Capra hircus (goat). It matches the Rfam family "tRNA". From Rfam's summary of the family: Transfer RNA (tRNA) molecules are approximately 80 nucleotides in length. Their secondary structure includes four short double-helical elements and three loops (D, anti-codon, and T loops). RNAcentral also lists the same sequence under 1 other name. Lineage: Eukaryota; Metazoa; Chordata; Mammalia; Artiodactyla; Bovidae. The record is from Rfam by way of RNAcentral.
CCUGGUGGCUCAGAUGGUAAAGCAUCUGCCUGCAAUGCAGGAGGCUCAGGUUCAAUCCCUGGGUCAGGA